UCUGUUCAUUAUAUUGGCCUUAGCA
This 25-nucleotide non-coding RNA is filed under the name Cricetulus griseus (Chinese hamster). Lineage: Eukaryota; Metazoa; Chordata; Mammalia; Rodentia; Cricetidae. The record is from RNAcentral.